Molecule: ribosomal RNA, 496 nt
Filed under: uncultured bacterium
Lineage: Bacteria
Description: bacterial SSU rRNA
Rfam family: Bacterial small subunit ribosomal RNA
Source: RNAcentral
GAUGAACGCUAGCGGCAGGCUUAAUACAUGCAAGUUGAGGGGCAGCAUGAUAUACGCGAGUAUAUUGAUGGCGACCGGCGGACGGGUGAGUAAUAGGUAGGAGACCUACCUCAUACAGGGGGAUAGCAUAGAGAAAUCUGUGGUAAUACCCCAUGAGGUUAUAUGAAUAGAGGCAUAUAAUCAAAGCAUAAGUGAUUAUGCGGUAUGAGAGGGGCCUACUGACCAUUAGCUAGUUGGUGAGGUAAGGGCUCACCAAGGCGAAGAUGGUUAGGGGUUUUGAGAGAGAGACCCCCCACAUUGGAACUGAGAGACGGUCCAGACUCCUACGGGAGGCAGCAGUAGGGAAUAUUGGGCAAUGGGCGAAAGCCUGACCCAGCCAUGCCGCGUGAAGGAAGACGGCCUUAUGGGUUGUAAACUUCUUUACUACGCGAAUAGAGGUUAGUACGAGAUACUAAUAGGAAGGUAGUGUAAGUAAAAAGCACCGGCUAACUCCGUG